CUGCUUUAUUCAUAAUAGCCACAAAAAAGGGGAGACAAUCCAAAUAUCCAUCAACUGAUGAGUAAAUAGACAAAUGUGGUAUAUCCACACAAGGGAAUAUUAUUCACCAAUAAAAAGGGGAAACACUACUGAUACACGGAACAACAUGGAUCGAUCUCAAUAGUAUGCUAAGUAAAAGAAGCCAGACACAAGGAACUAAUCUGAAAAAGGCAAAACUAUAGUGAAAUGAAGCCAAUUGAGGCCAAGGGGUGGUGAAUGGGAUAGGCUGCAAAGGGACCUGCGAGAACUUUUUGGGAUGAUAAAAAUAUCCUAUAGUUUGACUACGGAGGUGAUUACACAACUGCACAUUUUGUCAAAGCAUAGCAAACAAUGAACUUAAAACUGGUGGAUUUUAUGGUGUGCAAAUUAUUCUUUGGUAAAGUUGCCUAUUGAAAAGUCAUUUAUAUUUUUAUAUAUCAGCAACAAUCUUUUAUAACAUGGAAUUUUAGAAGGUGCCAUUUGUAAUCAUAUCAAAAAAUCUGAGGUGCUUGGAAAUUAACAAAAUACAUUAAAGAAUUCUAUGAGAAAAGUAUACAUAUUGAGAAGCACUGAAGAAUAUCUAAAUAAAUGAGACAACAUUUCAUAUUUAUAUUUUACAUUUAUAUUCCAUGCAACAGGUUCUUUUUUAAAGUGUUGAAAUGCAAAGACUCAAGAAGUAGAAUUCACGCGGGCAGGGCAUGGCCUAGCAGAUAUAAAGACUUGCUAUAAAGCCUUUGUAACUAAGAUGAUAUAGUGUUAGUGAUGAGAUAGGUAAACUAAUGGAACAUGAGAGAGCAGAAACGAACAGAACAGAACCAAACAUAUAUGACAUUUGACAUAUGAAAGAAGUGACACUGCAGAGCCGUGGGGAAAAGAUGAACUUUUCAAUAAACGGUGCUGCCACAAUUGAGUAUCUUCAUGGGGAAGAAGUGAAACUGGAUCUCUACCUCAUACCAUACAACAAAAUUAAUUCAAUGUAUGUUGAAGACCUAAAUAUGAAAGGUAAAACUAUAAGAUAAUCUUUUAGAAAAUCUUAACAAGACCCCCAAAAAACUAACUUAAAUGAAAAGUCUGAUAAAUUGGAUUAUAUUAAACUUAAGACCCUAUUAAGAGAGUAAAACAGACAAGUGAAUCAGUCGGGGUUCUCCAGAGAAACAGAACCAAUAGGAUACACAUAGAAAAACAGAAAGAGAUCUAUUACAAGGGAUUAGCUCACGUGAUUACAGAGGCUGAGAAGUCCCGCAAUCUGCCAUCCGCAAGUUACAGGUCCAGGAAAGCCAGUGGUGUAGUUUAGACCAAACUUGAAGGCCUGAGAACCAGGGGUAGCAAUGGUGUAAGCUUCAGUCCAGCCCGAAGGUCUGAGACCAGGAGUGCUGAUGUCAGGAGGCAGGAGAAGAUGGACAUCCCAGCUCAGGCAGAGAGAAAAUUCUCCCUCCUCUGCCUUUUUGCUCUAUUCAGGCCCUCGAGGGUUGGAUGAUGCCCACCUGCAUUGAUGAGGGUGAUCUUCUUUACUCAGUCUGAUUCAAAUGCUAAUAUCUUCCAGAAACACCCUCACAGGCACAACCAGAAAUAAUGUUUUACCAGCUAUCAGGGUACCCCUUAGCCCAUUCAAACUGACACAUAAAAUUAACCAUCACAACAAGCCGAAGACAACUUGUGACACAUGAGAACACCAAAAGACUGGAAUAUAGAUAAUAAAAUUAAUUCUUACAAAUCAACACAAAAAAACACAGACAACUCAAUAUAAAUCGGCAAAAGACAUUAUUAGGCAUUUCACAAAAGGGAAUAUCCAACUGGCCAAUAAAUGUAUGAAAAGACGAUCAAUCACAUUAGUCAUUAAAAUAAAAAUGAGAUAUCAUUACUCAUCCACCACAUUAGGGGGGGGGAAAUAAAAAACAGAAAACCCAACAACAAUCUGUGUGUUGACGAGAAUGUGGAGCAAUCGGAACUCUCAUAUGCUGAUAGCAGCAAUAUAAAUUGGUACAAUCAUUUUGGUUACCAGUUUGACCUUAUGUAAUAAAAUUAAGCAUUCUCAUAUUCUAGAACCAGCAACUCCACUACAAGGUAUACAGGACUCUAGAGGAACUCUUGGGUGUGUGUGCCAGUGCCUUAGCUUAGGUGCCUCCAGAGAGUGGAGCCUGAGACAAGGACUUGCACACAGGUGGUUUACUCUGGGAUAUAGUCCUAAAGAACAGGAGUGGGGGCCUAGAAUGAUUGGAACAUGGAGGAAGGAAAGCCAUUCUAAGGGUGCAUCAUGAGUCGGUUACCACUGUGAACACCCGAGGCUCAAUCCUGUUGGACGCUCACUGAGGAACUGUGUAGAGUCACCUUCAGAAUUGUCUGCUUGUGACUUGGAGGUGGGGAGCAUUUAUCCUCUGGCUCCUGUCCCCACUGGUCAAAGCUGUCCCAGUGGGUAUGAAUGUUCUGCACUCCUAGGUUUUCA
Equus caballus (horse) is the source of this 2461-nucleotide long non-coding RNA. The record is from Ensembl. Lineage: Eukaryota; Metazoa; Chordata; Mammalia; Perissodactyla; Equidae.